This 357-nucleotide long non-coding RNA is filed under the name Musa acuminata (dwarf banana). Its description in RNAcentral is "long non-coding RNA (MACU_LNC009618)". The record is from RNAcentral. Lineage: Eukaryota; Viridiplantae; Streptophyta; Magnoliopsida; Zingiberales; Musaceae.
UUUUUUUCUUUUUCUCUUCUUCUUUUUCCUCUUCUUCUUCUUCUCCUCCCCAACGCCCCACAGCUCCUCACUAUAGCCCUUACCGCAGCCACCUCCUCUUUUCUUCUUCUUCUUCUUCUUCUUCUUCUUCUUCUUCUGCUUCUCUUCCUCUGCUUCUCUUCUUCUCCUCUUCUUCCCUUCUCCUCCCCGACGCCCCACACAUGAACUCCUCUAUUUCCUCCUACACGAAACAGAGGUGCAGCCCUAGCUGCUGCAGCUAUCUCUCUUUCCUCUCCCUCUUCUCUCUCUUCUUCUUCUUCUUUUCUUCUCUUCUCCCUCUUCUUCCUAUCUUCUUCUCCCCAUGCCCCACAGCUCCUC